Molecule: ribosomal RNA, 1431 nt
Filed under: uncultured organism
Description: 16S ribosomal RNA
Rfam family: Bacterial small subunit ribosomal RNA
Source: RNAcentral
CGCUAGCUACAGGCUUAACACAUGCAAGUCGAGGGGCAGCAUGGUCUUAGCUUGCUAAGGCCGAUGGCGACCGGCGCACGGGUGAGUAACACGUAUCCAACCUGCCGUCUACUCUUGGACAGCCUUCUGAAAGGAAGAUUAAUACAAGAUGGCAUCAUGAGUCCGCAUGUUCACAUGAUUAAAGGUAUUCCGGUAGACGAUGGGGAUGCGUUCCAUUAGAUAGUAGGCGGGGUAACGGCCCACCUAGUCUUCGAUGGAUAGGGGUUCUGAGAGGAAGGUCCCCCACAUUGGAACUGAGACACGGUCCAAACUCCUACGGGAGGCAGCAGUGAGGAAUAUUGGUCAAUGGGCGAGAGCCUGAACCAGCCAAGUAGCGUGAAGGAUGACUGCCCUAUGGGUUGUAAACUUCUUUUAUAAAGGAAUAAAGUCGGGUAUGGAUACCCGUUUGCAUGUACUUUAUGAAUAGGGAUCGGCUAACUCCGUGCCAGCAGCCGCGGUAAUACGGAGGAUCCGAGCGUUAUCCGGAUUUAUUGGGUUUAAAGGGAGCGUAGAUGGAUGUUUAAGUCAGUUGUGAAAGUUUGCGGCUCAACCGUAAAAUUGCAGUUGAUACUGGAUAUCUUGAGUGCAGUUGAGGCAGGCGGAAUUCGUGGUGUAGCGGUGAAAUGCUUAGAUAUCACGAAGAACCCCGAUUGCGAAGGCAGCCUGCUAAGCUGCAACUGACAUUGAGGCUCGAAAGUGUGGGUAUCAAACAGGAUUAGAUACCCUGGUAGUCCACACGGUAAACGAUGAAUACUCGCUGUUUGCGAUAUACGGCAAGCGGCCAAGCGAAAGCGUUAAGUAUUCCACCUGGGGAGUACGCCGGCAACGGUGAAACUCAAAGGAAUUGACGGGGGCCCGCACAAGCGGAGGAACAUGUGGUUUAAUUCGAUGAUACGCGAGGAACCUUACCCGGGCUUAAAUUGCAGAUGAAUUACGGUGAAAGCCGUAAGCCGCAAGGCAUCUGUGAAGGUGCUGCAUGGUUGUCGUCAGCUCGUGCCGUGAGGUGUCGGCUUAAGUGCCAUAACGAGCGCGACCCUUGUUGUCAGUUACUAACAGGUUCUGCUGAGGACUCUGACAAGACUGCCAUCGUAAGAUGUGAGGAAGGUGGGGAUGACGUCAAAUCAGCACGGCCCUUACGUCCGGGGCUACACACGUGUUACAAUGGGGGGUACAGAGGGCCGCUACCACGCGAGUGGAUGCCAAUCCCCAAAACCUCUCUCAGUUCGGACUGGAGUCUGCAACCCGACUCCACGAAGCUGGAUUCGCUAGUAAUCGCGAAUCAGCCACGGCGCGGUGAAUACGUUCCCGGGCCUUGUACACACCGCCCGUCAAGCCAUGGGAGCCGGGGGUACCAGAGGUGCGUAACCGCGAGGAGCGCCCUAGGGUAAAACU